This 803-nucleotide long non-coding RNA is filed under the name Cyanistes caeruleus (blue tit). RNAcentral's name for it is "lncRNA (ENSCCEG00000005079.1)". The record is from RNAcentral. Lineage: Eukaryota; Metazoa; Chordata; Aves; Passeriformes; Paridae.
AUGCAGAGCCCUCAUCUCCAGCAGCCAGGUGGAACAGACCGCUGGGAAAAGGGAGUUUGGUGUGUGAUGGCAAGAUUCACCAGUGCCCCUUCCACCAUUGGCUGCCCCUUAAAAGAAAAAGCAGUAAUCUGGCAAAAUGAACUCAGAACACACAAAGAGGAGCCACUGGAGACUAAUCUGCAAGGUAUUCAGAUUCUGCUACCAAACUGCUUCUGGGACUUCAUGCAGUUUGCUUCAUCUGAGAGAACCUCAGGUGUUGCUGUUGAGCAGAAAUUGGAAGAAACUGUGAAGGUGAAUAGACUGGGAAAAUGGUCCUGCCCAUCAUCACAGGAAACCAUAAACCUCACCACUGUGGGACAGGAGUGACCAACCAUGACCAUUUUUGCUGCCUUAGGAACAUCCCCAUUCCCUCUAUUUUUCAGAUAAGGUAAGAAAUUAGUUAAUAUCUGAAUUGAAUUGGGAAAAUACUGUUUUUAAUCAAACUGAAUGCAGCCUAAGCAAAAAGCCUGAAUACAAACUUCUAAAAUCAGUGACUUUAUACAUCUUCCAGAGGCCAUAUAUGUCAAGUGUACACCCUUUUUUUGGACUGAUACAGUAGAAGUGUCUUAACAGAGUGCUGAUGUAAUUCUGUCUGUUCAUUUUCUUUCUUGAAGCUGUUUGCUGCAUUUCAGACAGGUUAAAAUGGAGUGUUUUUCUGACUCUUGGGAAUGACAUUCAGCUUGCCUAUUAUAUCUUAUUAAAGGCUUUGUCAGGUUUGAAAAUGAGAAAUGUUCAAAUAAAAACAGUGUCUAGAGAGAGAGGCA